GCCACCACGCCCGGCUUACCAUCAGUUCAUCUUUUAAAAGAAUGACCCAGAGUGUGGCCUUUUAAAAACUAACAAUUGUGCUUUUUUCUUUAGUGACACAAGGGCUGUGUCUCUGUUUCAGUCAGCGUAAGCCAUGCACAACCUCAGUGGCUUCCAGCGCAGAAGAGUUGUCUUGCUCCUAUUCCACCCCCCAGGAUGGCUCCCUGCUGCUCCACAGGCUCCUCAUCGGGUCUGCAACUCGGGCUGAAGAUCACACUGACUCCCGGGUGGCAGGGGGAGGAAAAGGACCAGGAGAUCGUAGGUGACCUCUAAGCUCCGGCGGAGUGGGAGCGCCCCUCAUUUCUGCUCUGGUCACUGCCCAGAUGGAGCCACGCGUGUCGGGAGGGUGUAGACUCCUCCACAAUCGGGGGCGGAAGCCAAGGGGUAUCCAGAGGUCAGCGAGCCAGGCCGGGCCCUCUGUGGGAUCAACCCCGUGGGGUGCAGAGUGCGGAAGCAAAGAAAGCACAGAGAUGGCAGAUGGAGAAUCACCGACACCACCCCCCAUAACCGAGUGCCAACGCUGUAGUUACCAAGACUUCCUCUCUACCUGUGCCAGCCCCUGGGCAGGGAGAUGGGGGUGCGCUGGUCUAAAGAGCUCUCAGAGUUAAAGCUCACUUACCACAAAAUGCACUUAAAACAGUGUAAGUUCCAAAAAAGGAAUUUCAGAAACAUUCACAUCCUAUUUUGAGAGCCCGAAGGACAAGCCUCAUUGUACGUCUUUCUGGUGCCCUUUCCUCAGUGGGCUGGUCCUCCGGGAUUGGCCUGUGGGGUCCUUCCCCCACCUUUCCCCCUUUAUGUUAUUUUUCUUGAAACAAUCUCA
RNAcentral lists this long non-coding RNA (859 nucleotides) under Fukomys damarensis (Damara mole-rat). RNAcentral's name for it is "lncRNA (ENSFDAG00000024830.1)". The record is from RNAcentral. Lineage: Eukaryota; Metazoa; Chordata; Mammalia; Rodentia; Bathyergidae.